CAUGAUGGAUUAUGUGCAUUGUUUAGUAUCUCUCACAGGACCUGGUAUGACAGAGGUUGUUCUACCCGCCUUCCCUUCUACUGCUAUAUUGCCAAAGGAGCCAAAAAAUGGAAAGUUGUGAGGGUGGAAAUGAAGUCAAGUUCAUCCUUAGACUUUAAUGACUCUGCUGUGAGUGAAGCCAUUUUAAACCAAGUCCAACAAAGGUAUGACACGGUCAAGCUUCAGUGGAGAGUCCAGCCCGACGGGAAGAUAUUUCAUAAAAAAGAAAAGAAGAAGACAUAAAGUUGCCAAUAUGAAAUUAUCUGCACUG
Long non-coding RNA from Cyclopterus lumpus (lumpfish), 310 nucleotides. RefSeq lists it as uncharacterized. The transcript has 3 exons. The record is from RefSeq and is a predicted model, not a curated record. NCBI's taxonomy places the organism in Eukaryota, Metazoa, Chordata, Actinopteri, Perciformes, Cyclopteridae.